GACGAACGCUGGCGGCGUGCCUAACACAUGCAAGUCGAGCGGGGUAUGUGAGGUAGCUUACUACCGAGCGUACCUAGCGGCGGACGGGUGAGUAACGCGUGAGCAACCAACCUUGUACAGGGGGAUAACAGGUGGAAACACCUGCUAAUACCGCAUAAGACCACGGCACUGCAUGGUGAUGUGGUAAAAGGAGCGGAAGCUCCGGUACAAGACGGGCUCGCGUCCCAUUAGCUAGUUGGUGGGGUAACGGCCUACCAAGGCGACGAUGGGUAGCCGGCCUGAGAGGGUGGACGGCCACACUGGGACUGAGACACGGCCCAGACUCCUACGGGAGGCAGCAGUGGGGAAUAUUGCGCAAUGGGGGGAACCCUGACGCAGCGACGCCGCGUGAGCGAAGAAGGCCUUCGGGUCGUAAAGCUCUGUCUUUGGGGACGAAGGAGAUGACGGUACCCAAGGAGGAAGCCCGGCUAACUACGUGCCAGCAGCCGCGGUAAAUAGCGUACU
RNAcentral lists this ribosomal RNA (504 nucleotides) under uncultured bacterium. RNAcentral describes it as "bacterial SSU rRNA". It matches the Rfam family "Bacterial small subunit ribosomal RNA", at positions 28 to 531 of the family's 1533-position model. The record is from RNAcentral.